Passer domesticus (house sparrow) is the source of this 774-nucleotide long non-coding RNA. RefSeq lists it as uncharacterized. The transcript has 3 exons. The record is from RefSeq and is a predicted model, not a curated record. Lineage: Eukaryota; Metazoa; Chordata; Aves; Passeriformes; Passeridae.
GGAAGUAGAGGAGGAUUCCAACUAGACAGAAAAUACAUGAGCAGCUACAUCUCCUACUAUGACUGAAAUGAAGGGCUCAGUGCAGGAUUUAGUCAGGAGAAUUCCUAAUUAAAGGGAACUGGACAAGACAACCACACGUACAGAUUCCUGACUGCCAACCACGGGCACAUCCACUGACUGUACUGAGAGCUGAAAAACAAAGUCUGUAAGUCACAAAAUUAUUUGAACUGGAAGCAACCUUAAAGCUCAUCCAGUUCCAUGGGCAGGAAGAAGUCCCCAGAGGCCCUACAUUUUGAGAAACGCUGGACUCAAUUUUCGACGUACAAAAUCAGACAGCUAAAAGAUUAGCCAGCUGUGAAAUGCCUCAACAGCAUCCCCCUGCCUAUCUAAAAAAAUGCCCCUCAGACUGCUGAGGAUGGAUUUCCUCCCUUGACACCGAAUAUUAAGCAAAUGUAAUAUAAUCAGAGCCAUCCCUGUUAUUGUGGCCCAGCAUUUCUGUGAACAAGGACAGGUAACUUACAUUACAAGGCCCAGAAGAUGUGCAUUUGGGCAAGGAACACUGGCAAUAUUGGCCCUUAUGGAUCACAUAUCAUCAGGCUUCACCCAACAACCUUCAGUUCUUGUGGUUUUCAGGUUUGUUUUGCUCUAACCUCCAGAAGCCAUUACAGUGGAAACCAGAGCUGAUCCAUUGCUACUGUAGGGGACCAUUCAACUUGAAAUAAAAGAUUGCCCAAUUUCUAUCUGCUCUCUACAUCCAUGCCCAAGUGGAGUGAU